UUGAACGAGGUGAAGCCGGGGGGGGGGGGGGGCAUCGAGCCACCUGGGCGCAUGGGGUUGGUUAGCGUUUCUCCCGAGUUUCGAACCUGCAACCUUUGUGCUGCGAGGCAACAGUCCUAACCACUGCGCAAACCAUCAUAAGAUCCCCCUGACACCAAACCCAACGCCCCAAAACUUUGGUUAGAGCAAAAUUUAGCCUGACUGGAUCCAACUCUCACCAAAAGCACAGGUCCAACCUACUCCCGGCUACGUAGACCAGACUCACACGUCUUUGGUACGGAGACAGGACGGCCCUUGGCAACGACUCUGACGGUACUCUUGGCCCUCUUGCAUCAUUCAUCAAUCCUCCGUUAAAAGCCUCAUUUUUGACCCCUCCCUUAAAUUUGACAAACAAAUGAGUUCAGUUGUCCAAACAAGUUUCUUUCAGCUCUUAUUCGAAGUAAAGACGUGCAACUCCAUAAACGAGGCAUCAGUCCUCCCUCAGCGCUCACAGGCCUUUAGGAAUGCUGCAGCUCUUCUCCUAACAGGAAUCCCAAACACUACACCGCUGCUGGCUUCAACACACCUGAUUUCAAUCAGCAGGUGAUUGAUCAACAGGCUUCUGCGAAGCCUGAUGCGCUGCUGCACAGGUGAAUCAACCAAGUGUGUUGGAGCAGAGAAACCACUAAGACAUGCUGGAGAACUCGGCACAGAUCACCCUGUGGAGACCUCCGUUUGGGAACCUCUGAGAGUCCGGGACUUCCCGUGAGCCUUGGGGGAUUCUGGGGAUUUUCCACUGAUCAACCACACCUCUGUCAACCUGCUUCAAAACACUGCUGCUCAAAGGUGCAGCAUGAGAGGCUUUUCCAGAUAGCUUGAAAUGCUUUCCACUUACUGAUGAAACGAAUGAAUUAAAGGUUUUGUCAAAAAUU
Long non-coding RNA from Nothobranchius furzeri (turquoise killifish), 911 nucleotides. RefSeq lists it as uncharacterized. Lineage: Eukaryota; Metazoa; Chordata; Actinopteri; Cyprinodontiformes; Nothobranchiidae. The record is from RefSeq and is a predicted model, not a curated record.